This 266-nucleotide ribosomal RNA is filed under the name uncultured bacterium. RNAcentral describes it as "partial 16S ribosomal RNA". It matches the Rfam family "Bacterial small subunit ribosomal RNA", at positions 793 to 1055 of the family's 1533-position model. The record is from RNAcentral.
GUCCACGCUGUAAACGAUGAGUGCUAAGUGUUAGAGGGUUUCCGCCCUUUAGUGCUGCAGCUAACGCAUUAAGCACUCCGCCUGGGGAGUACGGCCGCAAGGCUGAAACUCAAAGGAAUUGACGGGGGACCCGCACAAGCGGUGGAGCAUGUGGUUUAAUUCGAAGCAACGCGAAGAACCUUACCAGGUCUUGACAUCCUCUGACACUCCUAGAGAUAGGACGUUCCCCUUGGGGGACAGAGUGACAGGUGGUGCAUGGUUGUCGU